RNAcentral lists this ribosomal RNA (151 nucleotides) under Exophiala phaeomuriformis. RNAcentral describes it as "5.8S ribosomal RNA". It matches the Rfam family "5.8S ribosomal RNA". From Rfam's summary of the family: 5.8S ribosomal RNA (5.8S rRNA) is a component of the large subunit of the eukaryotic ribosome. It is transcribed by RNA polymerase I as part of the 45S precursor that also contains 18S and 28S rRNA. Lineage: Eukaryota; Fungi; Ascomycota; Eurotiomycetes; Chaetothyriales; Herpotrichiellaceae. The record is from RNAcentral.
AACUUUCAACAACGGAUCUCUUGGUUCGGGCAUCGAUGAAAAACCCACCGAAAUGCGAUAAGUAAUGCGAAUUGCAAAAUUCCAGUGAGUCAUCGAAUCUUUGAACGCACAUUGCGCCCUUUGGUAUUCCGAAGGGCAUGCCUGUUCAAGC